AUGAGACGAGCUGCUGCCCCUUAUUGGAUUGGGGUCUAAGUGACGGGCCGUUGAGACUGGUAGGCAAAUCCGCCGGUUGAGGUGAGUCAUGAAAGAUAGUCUGGCUUCGGUCGGGCGAAGAGCAAGGAGUCACGGUGCCGAGAAAGAGUCUCUAGGGUUAAUCUGUACAGGGACCGUACCGCAAACCGACACAGGUAGGCGGGAUGAAGAUUCUAAGGCGCACGGGAGAACUCGGGUAAAGGAACUAGGCAAACUACAUACGUAACUUCGGGAUAAGUAUGGCCCUCGCAAGGGGGUGGCACGGAAAUGGCCCAAGCGACUGUUUACCAAAAACACAGGUCUCUGCGAACGCGCAAGCGGAAGUAUAGGGGCUGACACCUGCCCGGUGCUGGAAGGUUAAGGGGAGUGGUUAGGCGCAAGCCGAAGCUGCGAACUGAAGCCCCAGUAAACGGCGGCCGUAACUAUAACGGUCCUAAGGUAGCGAAAUUCCUUGUCGGGUAAGUUCCGACCCGCACGAAUGGUGUAACGACUUGGGCGCUGUCUCUACCCGAGGCCCGGUGAAAUUGACAGACCUGUGAAGAUGCAGGUUACCUGUGGUUAGACGGAAAGACCCCGUGAACCUUUACUGUACCCUGGUAUUGAAACCCAGCUUAGCAUGUGUAGGAUAGGUGGGAGACUAUGAGAUCUGCGCGCUAGCGUGGAAGGAGUCACCGUUGAAAUACCACCCUUGCUAAGUUAGGUUUCUAACGGGCUCCCUGAUCGGGGGUCUGGACCAUGCCAGGCGGGCAGUUUGACUGGGGCGGUCGCCUCCUAAAGAGUAACGGAGGCGCGCGAAGGUUACCUUGCGGUGGUUGGAAAUCAUCGUGUAAGUGUAAGGGCAUAAGGUAGCUUGACUGCGAGACAGACAAGUCGAGCAGGUACGAAAGUAGGUCUUAGUGAUCUGGCAGUAGCGCGUGGAAGCGCCGUCACUUAACGGAUAAAAGGUACUCCGGGGAUAACAGGCUUAUCUUCCCCAAGAGUUCACAUCGACGGGAAGGUUUGGCACCUCGAUGUCGGCUCAUCGCAUCCUGGGGCUGGAGCAGGUCCCAAGGGUUUGGCUGUUCGCCAAUUAAAGCGGUACGUGAGCUGGGUUCCGAACGUCGCGAGACAGUUCGGUCCCUAUCUGCCACAGGCGUUGGAUGUUUGAGAGGACUUGCCCUUAGUACGAGAGGACCGGGGCUAACACACCUCUGGUGUACCAGUUGUUCCGCCAGGAGCAAGCGCUGGGUAGCUACGUGUGGACGGGAUAACCGCUGAAAGCAUCUAAGUGGGAAGCCCACCUCAAGAUGAGACAUCCCUGGGGGUUUAACCCCCCUAAAGGCACCAGGAAGACUACCUGGUCGAUAGGCUGGAAGUGUAAACCCUGCAAGGGGCGCAGCUGACCAGUACUAAUUCGCCGUGAGGCUUGACC
RNAcentral lists this ribosomal RNA (1450 nucleotides) under metagenome. Its description in RNAcentral is "bacterial LSU rRNA". It matches the Rfam family "Bacterial large subunit ribosomal RNA", at positions 1476 to 2925 of the family's 2925-position model. The record is from RNAcentral.